Molecule: long non-coding RNA, 2768 nt
Organism: Amaranthus tricolor (Joseph's coat)
Lineage: Eukaryota; Viridiplantae; Streptophyta; Magnoliopsida; Caryophyllales; Amaranthaceae
Exons: 3
Source: RefSeq, a predicted model, not a curated record
AAACCUGUUCGAGUAAAAACGCUAUUAAGGCCAGCGUUUUUAGGCCCAAAUGGGCUGACAUGUAAAACGCUGUUGGGAGCAACGUUUUCACAAUAGGCUGAUUUAUCACAACUUCCUUAUUUCCCCAAUUCCCCCAUUUCAAUUAAACCCUAAUUUUCGAAUCUCCUUCUUCCUCUCCUUCUAAUCUCCUUGUAUGCCUUCUCCAUUGUAGUGUUUAUUUUUUUUGAUUUUACUCUUUUUUAGUCUUUAUUAUUCAAUUUUGUGGUAAAGGGUAUGUGAAUUUUUCAAUUUUGUUCAUCUUCUUCCUGAUUAUUCAAUUAUGAUCAUGAUUAGGGUUUUAUAUCUUUUUAGUAAUAUAGGUUUUUACUAUGUAGAACUAGUAAUUCCUUACUCUUUACUUUAUUACUUGGCUUAUUUGAGUUAAGUUUAUUGAAUUUUAUAUUAUUAUUAUAAAUGUUUGAUGAAUUACAUCCAAUUUUACAUAUUUUUAUCAUUACUAUCAGUAACAAUAUUAUUAUUUUGUUGAAUGAUUCCAAUUGCUUGAUUAUUAUUUGAAUAUUUAACUAUUUGUACUUUAAAUUUGCCGAAUUUGAGAUUAAUUGGACAUUGAAUUGUGGGUGACUCGUGAUCUGUGAAUUCAAUUGUAAAAUUUGUGACUGUUGAAUUGGAUAUGCUGGUUGUUGUAAGUGGACAUUGAAUGUUUGAUGUUGAUUACUUAGGGAUAUAGAUUGAUGUUUAAUUGAAUGAAUGACUUGUUGAAUUUGUUAAAUAGUUUGGAUAUAUGUUGAUAUUAAUUAUUUGGGAUAUAAUGAGUGAAUGUUGAAGUUGAUUACUUGGGAUAUGUACUUGAUGUUGAAUGAAUAUAGUAAAUUAUUGAAUGCUGAAUGUUGAAUUGAAUUAUCAUGAUGAAAAGUAAACACAUUAAACAAACAAGAUGAAGAAUCCUGGUCCUCUAGAUCCUUCCUUGUUAGUUUCACGACCUACCCAUCGUUCACAUUUCAUAUGAACCGGAUAACUAGAGUCCGACACAUUGUUUCAGACUCGACACCACCCUUCGGUAGUAAUGAGAUAGCCCGUAGAUGAUAGGGUUUUGAGAUACGUGCAUGAAGUGGGUUUAUAUGGUAUUCAACGAGUAGGUCAAAUACCAUUAGGUUGCGGGAUGAUUACGGCUUUAGUUGAGCAAUAAAGACUUGAGACGCACACCUUUCAUCUAUCGCUAGGUGAAGCGACCAUCACACUACGUGAUGUUGCUAUACCUACCGACUUACUGGUGAGUGGGAGGGCAGUCACCGGUCCUAAUCCGAGCCAUACAAAAGAGCAGAUACAUAGGAUGUUUGGGGUCCCACUGCCUGACGAAGCGAUGAUUGAGUCUUCAGUGAAGACGACAUGGAUGCUUAACACCUUUGGGCAUUUACCGGGCCCCGACGCUGAGGAUGCAGUUGUAGAUCAUUAUGCUCGCAUUUACUGCUAGGUACUUAUUUCCGGCUAUUUGUUUGUAGACAAAUCCAAAAACGAGAUGCAAGGGAUCUAUUUAGAGCUCCUUGACCAAGAUUGGGUUGAUAUCGCGUCCUACAAUUGGGCCAGUGCCCCACUUGCUUUCCUCUACAGAAAUUUGUGUCAAGCCGCCUUGAUCAAGAAAGGGAAACCAACAAGUGACAUUGCGGGUCCAUUGGUUAAUCUACAGUUGUGGAUAUGGAAGCAUAUUACGUUUUGCACUCCUGCUGUCUCAACGCGAUUACGCGACGACGUAGGGGAGAAGACGGGCAGCCUAUUAUCCUCCAUGUUAAGCCGGAGGAUCCCACGGAGGAUGAGCCAUAUGGAUCGAGAUGGCUCGUGCCUCGAUUGACGCAUUUGAACACCUCACGAGUUGUACAUGUCUUUUGCGAUUCACUUGAUCGCAUGGCCAGUGUACAGGUAUUUUGAUUGUUUUUCAGUUCAAUACCACUACCCUGAACGAGUCACGCGUCAAUACGGUUUGCGGCAGACGAGGCCUGAUCCACCAGAAGAACACCGCAUGCUCCACGACGUGGAUCGUAGGGGAAAGCCACGGUGAAUUGGGCUGCGUAUCACUGGGGAUACAUCGAGGGGUGGGAUGGACGUGAGAUUACGUAGUUCAGGGGGACGAGAUUGGUGAACCGAUGGAUUUCCAUGAUAACUAUCUCGGUAUCGUGGAAUCACCAGACGGUUCAUCAGCCGAGGAUAUGAUCCAGAGCGGCCACUCCCUCUGAACUACAUACCCUCUGGCGUGCCAUUACAUGUCCUGACGCAACACGUGCUGAGCAUUUGUGACUACAUGCACUCGCAGCGACAUGUAUGUCAUGAACAGUCAAACGAAGUGGUCAGGAGGUGCGAUAGUGUAAUGGUAGGCCUUGGAUAUGAGCAUCUGCUUCAACCAUUAUCGCAAGACGAUGUUCCUAGUUCAACAACACAAGAAGAUGCUCUAGAGAUGUCAACCGAUCAUCAAUCGCCAUAUACACUCAGUGUACAUCCGACGAUUCCUGGGCCCUCUUAGGGCGAGUGUUCUUAUGUAUCUCCUGUUCAUCCCACUAACUUUAGGCUUCAUCAACAAUAAGAUAGUGAGGGUACACCUUUAAUUUAUCCUAGUCUAGACAUUAUUUAUGAGGGCGUUACACCUACUGUUGAUUCUUAGAUUAUGUAUAUAUAUGUGUAUAUGUAACGUUAUUUGCAUUGUAUAACUUUACGCUUCGAGAUAAUUGUAUAUAUUUGUAUAUUUAAUGUUAUUUUUUUGUUUAUAUUGGGUGAUUGAA